GUAACCUGCCCAGAAGUAGGGGAUAACACCUGGAAACAGAUGCUAAUACCGUAUAACAGAGAAAACCGCAUGGUUUUCUUUUAAAAGAUGGCUCUGCUAUCACUUCUGGAUGGACCCGCGGCGUAUUAGCUAGUUGGUGAGGUAAAGGCUCACCAAGGCAGUGAUACGUAGCCGACCUGAGAGGGUAAUCGGCCACAUUGGGACUGAGACACGGCCCAGACUCCUACGGGAGGCAGCAGUAGGGAAUCUUCCACAAUGGACGCAAGUCUGAUGGAGCAACGCCGCGUGAGUGAAGAAGGGUUUCGGCUCGUAAAGCUCUGUUGUUAAAGAAGAACGUGGGUAAGAGUAACUGUUUACCCAGUGACGGUAUUUAACCAGAAAGCCACGGCUAACUACGUGCCAGCAGCCGCGGUAAUACGUAGGUGGCAAGCGUUAUCCGGAUU
Molecule: ribosomal RNA, 443 nt
Filed under: Pediococcus sp.
Lineage: Bacteria; Bacillati; Bacillota; Bacilli; Lactobacillales; Lactobacillaceae
Description: bacterial SSU rRNA
Rfam family: Bacterial small subunit ribosomal RNA
Source: RNAcentral